Molecule: small nuclear RNA, 104 nt
Organism: Myotis lucifugus (little brown bat)
Lineage: Eukaryota; Metazoa; Chordata; Mammalia; Chiroptera; Vespertilionidae
Source: Ensembl
GUGCUCGCUUUGGCAGCACAUAUACUAAAACUGGAACAAUACAAAGAUUAGCAUGGCCCCUGCACAAGGAUGACACACAAAUUUGUGAAAUGUUCCAUAUUAAA